Cygnus olor (mute swan) is the source of this 166-nucleotide long non-coding RNA. RefSeq lists it as uncharacterized. NCBI's taxonomy places the organism in Eukaryota, Metazoa, Chordata, Aves, Anseriformes, Anatidae. The transcript has 3 exons. The record is from RefSeq and is a predicted model, not a curated record.
UUUCAUUUCUUCUCAUUCUCACUUUGUUGGAGAACUAAUAUGAAAUGUUGUCUGAGUGCUCAGGGAGAAGACAAGAGAUGAAGAUGAUAUUUUGUGUCACAAUAAUGAAAGGAACAAAUUCAGUUUGGCUGGAAGCAGUUUUUUAUGAUUAAAUUUUUUGACUGGA